CCAAUAGCGUAUAUUAAAGUUGUUGCAGUUAAAAAGCUCGUAGUUGAAUUUCGGGGUUAGUAGGCUGGUCGUGCCACUGGUAUGUACUGGUCUCACUGAUUCCUCCUUCCUGAUGAGCUGUCAUGCCAUUAAUUUGGUGUUGCAGGGAAUCUGGACUGUUACUUUGAAAAAAUUAGAGUGUUUAAAGCAGGCUAACGCUGGAAUACAUUAGCAUGGAAAAAUGAAAUAGGACGUUCGAUCCUAUUUUGUUGGUUUCUAGGAUUGACGUAAUGAUUAAUAGGGAUAGUUGGGGGCAUUAGUAUUCAAUUGUCAGAGGUGAAAUUCUUGGAUUUAUUGAAGACUAACUACUGCGAAAGCAUUUGCCAAGGAUGUUUUCAUUAAUCAAGAACGAAAGUUAGGGGAUCGAAGACGAUCAGAUACCGUCGUAGUCUUAACCAUAAACUAUGCCGACUAGGGAUCGGAUGAUGUUAAUUUUUUAAUGACUCAUUCGGCGCCUUACG
Molecule: ribosomal RNA, 500 nt
Filed under: uncultured Glomeromycotina
Lineage: Eukaryota; Fungi; Glomeromycota
Description: partial small subunit ribosomal RNA
Rfam family: Eukaryotic small subunit ribosomal RNA
Source: RNAcentral